UGGGGAAUAUUGCACAAUGGGCGCAAGCCUGAUGCAGCCAUGCCGCGUGUAUGAAGAAGGCCUUCGGGUUGUAAAGUACUUUCAGUCGGGAGGAAGGUGUCAAGGUUAAUAACCUUGGCAAUUGACGUUACCGACAGAAGAAGCACCGGCUAACUCCGUGCCAGCAGCCGCGGUAAUACGGAGGGUGCAAGCGUUAAUCGGAAUUACUGGGCGUAAAGCGCACGCAGGCGGUUGAUUGAGUCAGAUGUGAAAUCCCCGGGCUUAACCCGGGAAUUGCAUCUGAUACUGGUCAGCUAGAGUCUUGUAGAGGGGGGUAGAAUUCCAUGUGUAGCGGUGAAAUGCGUAGAGAUGUGGAGGAAUACCGGUUGCGAAGGCGGCCCCCUGGACAAAGACUGACGCUCAGGUGCGAAAGCGUGGGGAGCAAACAGG
RNAcentral lists this ribosomal RNA (429 nucleotides) under Chloroflexota bacterium. RNAcentral describes it as "Chloroflexi bacterium partial 16S ribosomal RNA". It matches the Rfam family "Bacterial small subunit ribosomal RNA", at positions 355 to 776 of the family's 1533-position model. Lineage: Bacteria; Bacillati; Chloroflexota. The record is from RNAcentral.